UACGUAGGGUGCGAGCGUUAAUCGGAAUUACUGGGCGUAAAGCGUGCGCAGGCGGUUUUGUAAGCCAGAUGUGAAAGCCCCGGGCUUAACCUGGGAAUGGCAUUUGGGACUGCAAGGCUUGAGUGCGGCAGAGGAGACUGGAAUUCCUGGUGUAGCAGUGAAAUGCGUAGAUAUCGAGAGGAACACCGGUGGCGAAGGCGGCCUUCUGGACAGUGACUGACGCUGAGACGCGAAAGCGUGGGGAGCAAACAGG
This 253-nucleotide ribosomal RNA is filed under the name uncultured bacterium. RNAcentral's name for it is "partial 16S ribosomal RNA". It matches the Rfam family "Bacterial small subunit ribosomal RNA", at positions 524 to 776 of the family's 1533-position model. The record is from RNAcentral.